This 246-nucleotide ribosomal RNA is filed under the name uncultured Bacillus sp. RNAcentral describes it as "partial 16S ribosomal RNA". It matches the Rfam family "Bacterial small subunit ribosomal RNA", at positions 505 to 754 of the family's 1533-position model. Lineage: Bacteria; Bacillati; Bacillota; Bacilli; Caryophanales; Bacillaceae. The record is from RNAcentral.
GUGCCAGCAGCCGCGGUAAUACGUAGGUGGCAAGCGUUGUCCGGAAUUAUUGGGCGCAAAGCGCGCGCAGGUGCUCUCUUAAGUCUGAUGUGAAAGCCCCCGGCUCAACCGGGGAGGGUCAUUGGAAACUGGGAGACUUGAGUGCAGGAGAGAAGAGUGGAAUUCCACGUGUAGCGGUGAAAUGCGUAGAGAUGUGGAGGACACCAGUGCGAAGGCGACUUUGGCCUGUAACUGACACUGAGGCGC